AUCCUGGUCCAGGACGAACGCUGGCGGCGUGGAUAAGGCAUGCAAGUCGAACGGAUCAUUGCAUGAAGGAGCUGCGAUUACAUCAAGGCGACGGAUUGCAAUGAUUAGUGGCGAACGAGUUAGUAUCACCCUGGCAUGUACCCCGAAGACGGGCAUAACUAGCCGAAAGGUUAGCUAAUACCCGAUAGUCUCGUCACCUCCUCGCUUCUGAACCGAAGCUAUGAAUCUUUUGAGCAUCAUUGAUGCCGAAGAUUGCUCGGUUGAGGGGCAGGGAGGUGACGAGUAAACGGAGCAAUCCGCUUUGGGAGCAGCCUAGGUCCUAUCAGCUAGUUGGUGAGGUAAUGGCUCACCAAGGCUAUGACGGGUAGGGGGCGUGAGAGCGCGACCCCCAACGAGGGAACUGAGACACGGUCCUUACACCUACGGGUGGCCGCAGUCGAGAAUAUUCCACAAUGGAGGAAACUCUGAUGGAGCGACGCCGCGUGGAGGAAGAAGGCCUUCGGGUUGUAAACUCCUUUUCAUCGGGAGGAACGCAAGUGACUGUACCGAUGGAAUAAGACGCUGCAAACUUCGUGCCAGCAGCCGCGGUAAUACGAAGGCGUCAAGCGUUGUCCGGAUUUAUUGGGCGUAAAGGGUCUCCAGUCGGUCGUGUUUGUCGGGCGUUAAAUUCCGCUGCCCAACGGCGGAGCUGCGUUCGAAACGGCACGACUCGAGGUACACAGAGGCACACGGAACGGUAGGUGUAGGGGUGAAAUCCGUUGAUAUCUACCGGAACACCAGAGGCGAAGGCGGUGUGCUGGGUGUAUCCUGACGAUCAUGAGACGAAAGCGUGGGGAGCGAAUGGGAUUAGAUACCCCAGUAGUCCACGCCCUAAACGAUGCAGAUUCGCCGUGGGAAGUAUCGACCCUUUCCGUGGCCAAGCUAACGCGUUAAAUCUGCCGCCUGGGAAGUACGGCCGCAAGGCUAAAACUCAAAGGAAUAGACGGGAGCUCGCACAAGCGGUGGUCCAUGUGGUUCAAUUCGAUGACAACCGAGGAACCUCACCAGGGUUUGAAAUGGUAGCGAAAUGCCUGGGAAACUAGGCAUGUCUCACAAGGACGCUAUCACAGGUGCUGCACGGUCCUCGUCAGUUCGUGAUGUGAAUUGUUCCCUUCAGUGGGGUAACGAACGCAACCCUCGUCGCGUGUUAUUUGUGUCACGCGAGACUGCCUCCGUUCAGGGGGAGGAAGGCGGGGAUGACGCGAGAUCAGCGUGGCCCUUUGAUACCCUGGGCUACACACAUGGAACAAUGGCGUUGACAAAGCGUUGCCAAGCCGCAAGGCGGAGCCAAUCGCAUCAAACAACGCCUCAGUUCAGAUUGGGGUCUGCAACUCGACCCCAUGAAGCAGGAAUCGCUAGUAAUCGCGGAUCAGCUAUGCCGCGGUGAAUACGUUCUCGAGCUUUGUACUCACCGCCCGUCACGUCAAGGAAGCCGGGAAUACCCGAAGCUCCUCUUUUGGAGGAACCACGGUAAGCUCGGUGACAGGGACGAAGUCGUAACAAGGCAUCCGUAGCGGAAGCUGUGGAUG
This is a ribosomal RNA of 1568 nucleotides. It matches the Rfam family "Bacterial small subunit ribosomal RNA".